This 209-nucleotide unclassified non-coding RNA is filed under the name Hevea brasiliensis (rubber tree). The record is from RNAcentral. Lineage: Eukaryota; Viridiplantae; Streptophyta; Magnoliopsida; Malpighiales; Euphorbiaceae.
GGGGAUCGGCUGGCAGGGGUUGUCGCAGGAGUCGCACAUUGAGCACGCAAGGCCCGGUGGGGCCCAUGUGUCGUCGGCGGAGGCGCAGACGAUGACGAGGAAGAGAAGGAUGAGGAACGGUGAGGGCGUCGCCAUCACCGUCGGUGAGAGAGAUGGUGACAGUUUUCGCCGCCGAACUCGCUGGUGACAGCAGUGGGGAGAGAGACGUG